AUUUAUAUAGUUUAAAAUAAAACAAUACACUUUCAUUGUAUAAAUAAAUAAUUUAUUUUAUAAAUA
This 66-nucleotide transfer RNA is filed under the name Thitarodes damxungensis. Its description in RNAcentral is "tRNA-Glu". Lineage: Eukaryota; Metazoa; Arthropoda; Insecta; Lepidoptera; Hepialidae. The record is from RNAcentral.